RNAcentral lists this long non-coding RNA (377 nucleotides) under Elaeis guineensis (African oil palm). Its description in RNAcentral is "long non-coding RNA (EGUI_LNC017542)". Lineage: Eukaryota; Viridiplantae; Streptophyta; Magnoliopsida; Arecales; Arecaceae. The record is from RNAcentral.
UCCACGGGGCAUGCAAACUUCACUAUGAGAAAAAUAAAUAUUACAAGAGGAGAUCUCACCCUCAGCUCUCGUAUAUCCAAUUUCUUCCUUACAGAAAGUUCUCCUUCAUAAAAGCUCUCUCUCUAGGAAGACCCUCUGAACUCUUGAAGUGACUGCUGUUUCCUGUCCAGAAGCUUCUUUGCUCUUUCUCCUCUCAACGUCCUCACGCCUCUCUCUCUUCAUGGGUUCACUGUUUCCGCUGAAGAAAACCACACCGCGAGACCAACAGGCCACCACGAAACCUUCUGUUCAUGAGAUCAGCCUUUUAAAGGCUUAAAAAUGGGUAAGAUUAGGUUAAAAAAUCCUAAUGACACCCAAAUCAAGCCCCGGACUAUUGG